UGAGGAAUAUUGGUCAAUGGGCGGGAGCCUGAACCAGCCAAGCCGCGUGAGGGAAUAAGGCCCUACGGGUCGUAAACCUCUUUUGUCGGGGAACAAAAGUGGGGACGCGUCCCCGUCUGCGUGUACCCGAAGAAAAAGCAUCGGCUAACUCCGUGCC
This 157-nucleotide ribosomal RNA is filed under the name uncultured bacterium. RNAcentral describes it as "partial 16S ribosomal RNA". It matches the Rfam family "Bacterial small subunit ribosomal RNA", at positions 355 to 509 of the family's 1533-position model. The record is from RNAcentral.